UCCCAAUGCCUAAAAUCUAGGUCAGGGAGAAGUGGCUGCAUCUCUUUUGCCUAAACCAACAACUUUCCUUGGGUUUCUCUCAUGCUUUAUUUAUUACAGCACCAUGGGGCUCAAUGUAAUGCAGCGAAUCCAAGACAUUAUCUUGGAAUGAACAGAUGCCAUCAUCAGCAAAGCCAGCCAUGUUGGACUCUGAUGCUGUCAGCUGUCACAGCGAUGACUUCCUUUGGUUGACUGCAGCAUUUGUUAUCAUCUCAUUUCGCUUUGUGGAGAGUGGGUUGUUUACUUUGUUUUGUGUCCAUAUCUCUAUGAAAGCAUUGCUCCACAAAUUUAUGGAAUGGCCAGCUUAGGAUGUACACCGACCAGCCGAAACAUUCUGACCACUGACAGCUGCAUUGAGCCCUGCCGUAACAAUGAGUGGAUCAAAGAAAAGAAAAGUCGACAGUGAGUGUCGAGUGUUUCAGAAGGAGUGGACUACUAAAUAUUUUUUCGCUUAAAACCCGUUGUGUUUUUUAAAGAAUACAAUAUCAGCCGGCACUUUUCCGCGAAGCAUGCUAACUACGCUAGCAACCAGUCAGCGCAAUAAAGGACAGCUACGGUCAGAGGCUGGCAGCCAGUUUACACACUCAGCAAAAUACGUUUUUUCUGCAAACUACGAUUCAAGAGUCAAGCACGAAGGCAAGUUAUUUGCUAGCAUUCAAAAUAGCAAAGGCUAGCAAGCCUUUCUCCGAAGGGGAGUUUUUGAAAGAAUGCAUGGUAGAGACAGCAAGUCUCCUGUGUCCAGAGAGCAAAAACAAAUUUUAAAAAAAUAGUUUAAUACACAGGACAGUUACUUGCAGUGUUGAACUAAUCGACGAAGACUUAGCCAGCUCACUGAACGAAAAAGCGGAGUCCUUCAAGCUAUAUUCAUUAGCACUGGACGAAAGUAAUGACACAAAAGACACUGCUCAGCUUUUAAUUUUUAUUAGAGGGAUUAAUUAACAUUUUCAGACAACAGAGGAAUUUUUGACCAUGAAUCCAUGAAGGGGAAAACACGUGGAGAGGACUGUAGGACAGGGUGUCUGGGUCAUCCAGAGGAUGAAGCUGCUGUGGUGUAAACUCCCCAAUGUCACCACGGAUGGAUCACCAAACUCGACAGGAAAAAACGUCGGGCUGCUGAAAAGACUCCAGGAUAAGGUGAAGGAGGAAAACCCUGAGCUGGAUGUGAUUUUCCUACACUGCAUGAUCCAUCAGGAAGCGCUCUGUAAGUCUGUUUUGCAUCUUGAUCAUGUCGUGAAGCCAGUCGUAAAACUCGUUAACUUUAUACCAGGGAGGGCUUCAGCAUCGUCAAUUCAUGAAGUUUCUUGAAGAAACUUUGACACCAGACUUUGAUGCUCUGGCAAUAAAAGUGACCAACAACACUGUUCCCACUGAAACUGAAUGUGAGUAUUCUUUACUUUGUCAGUACUGUCUUUAACAUGUAAUUCAUAUUAGUUUGCACAAUCUCCAACCAUCUGAUGCUGGUCUGACCUGUCUGUCAAAUUUCAGAAGUCAAUGUGGCCCCUGAGCCAAAAAAUUUGCCCACCCCUGAUCGAAAUGAUAACCCGAGGCAUAAUGUUAUUGAAAUUAAACUUAUUUUUUCUUUAGAAAUGUCAGGUUGUUUAAAAUGUUUAAUAAAAAGAUAAUCAAUUGAAUGUGAA
Acanthochromis polyacanthus (spiny chromis) is the source of this 1676-nucleotide long non-coding RNA. RefSeq lists it as uncharacterized. The record is from RefSeq and is a predicted model, not a curated record. The transcript is spliced from 2 exons. Lineage: Eukaryota; Metazoa; Chordata; Actinopteri; Pomacentridae.